RNAcentral lists this ribosomal RNA (119 nucleotides) under Pteropus alecto (black flying fox). The record is from RNAcentral. Lineage: Eukaryota; Metazoa; Chordata; Mammalia; Chiroptera; Pteropodidae.
GUCUACAGUCAUGCCAGCUUGAACAAGCCCAAUCCCGUCUGAUCUCGGAAGCUAAGCAGGGUCGGGCUUGGUUAGUACUUGGAUGGGAGACCACCUAGGAAGACCAGGUGCUGUAGGCA